CGGAUUUAGUGGGUGUAAAGGGAGCGUAGGCGGAUUUUUAAGUGGGAUGUGAAAUACCCGGGCUCAACUUGGGGGCUGCAUUUCAAACUGGAUGUCUAGAGUGCAGGAGAGGAAAGCAGAAUUCCUAGUGUAGCGGUGAAAUGCGUAGAGAUUAGGAAGAACACCAGUGGCGAAGGCGACUCUCUGGACUGUAACUGACGCUGAGGCUCGAAAGCGUGGGGAGCAAACAGGAUUAGAUACCCUGGUAGUCGUCAGUAC
This 258-nucleotide ribosomal RNA is filed under the name uncultured Clostridium sp. RNAcentral's name for it is "partial 16S ribosomal RNA". It matches the Rfam family "Bacterial small subunit ribosomal RNA", at positions 546 to 805 of the family's 1533-position model. The record is from RNAcentral. Lineage: Bacteria; Bacillati; Bacillota; Clostridia; Eubacteriales; Clostridiaceae.